AGAGUUUGAUCCUGGCUCAGAUUGAACGCUGGCGGAAUGCUUUACACAUGCAAGUCGAACGGCAGCACGGGAGCUUGCUCCUGGUGGCGAGUGGCGAACGGGUGAGUAACACAUCGGAACAUGCCUAGUCGUGGGGGAUACCGUAGCGAAAGUUACGUUAAUACCGCAUACGUCCUGAGGGAGAAAGCAGGGGAUCGCAAGACCUUGCGCGAUUAGAGUGGCCGAUGGCUGAUUAGCUAGUUGGUGGGGUAAAGGCCUACCAAGGCGACGAUCAGUAGCGGGUCUGAGAGGAUGAUCCGCCACACUGGAACUGAGACACGGUCCAGACUCCUACGGGAGGCAGCAGUGGGGAAUUUUGGACAAUGGGGGCAACCCUGAUCCAGCCAUUCCGCGUGAGUGAAGAAGGCCUUCGGGUUGUAAAGCUCUUUCAGCGGGAACGAAACGGUGCGCUCCAACAUAGCGUAUUAAUGACGGUACCCGCAGAAGAAGCACCGGCUAACUACGUGCCAGCAGCCGCGGUAAUACGUAGGGUGCGAGCGUUAAUCGGAAUUACUGGGCGUAAAGCGUGCGCAGGCGGAUUGUUAAGCAAGAUGUGAAAUCCCCGGGCUUAACCUGGGAAUGGCAUUUUGAACUGGCAAUCUAGAGUGUGUCAGAGGGGGGUAGAAUUCCACGUGUAGCAGUGAAAUGCGUAGAGAUGUGGAGGAAUACCGAUGGCGAAGGCAGCCCCCUGGGAUAACACUGACGCUCAUGUACGAAAGCGUGGGUAGCAAAUAGGAUUAGAUACCCUGGUAGUCG
RNAcentral lists this ribosomal RNA (795 nucleotides) under uncultured bacterium. Its description in RNAcentral is "bacterial SSU rRNA". It matches the Rfam family "Bacterial small subunit ribosomal RNA", at positions 8 to 796 of the family's 1533-position model. The record is from RNAcentral.